UACAGAGGUCUCAAGCGUUGUUCGGAUUCAUUGGGCGUAAAGGGUGCGUAGGCGGCGCGGUAAGUCGGGUGUGAAAUCUCGGAGCUCAACUCCGAAAUUGCACUGGAUACUGCUCUGCUAGAGGGCUGGAGAGGAGAUCGGAAUUCACGGUGUAGCAGUGAAAUGCGUAGAGAUGUGGAGGAACACCAGUGGCGAAGGCGACUCUUUGGCCUGUAACUGACGCUGAGGCGCGAAAGCGUGGGGAGCAAACAGG
This 253-nucleotide ribosomal RNA is filed under the name uncultured bacterium. RNAcentral's name for it is "partial 16S ribosomal RNA". It matches the Rfam family "Bacterial small subunit ribosomal RNA", at positions 524 to 776 of the family's 1533-position model. The record is from RNAcentral.